CAGGGAGACAACAAAAUGUUUAAUAUUAUUAUUUUGUCACCUUAGGUCGAUCGGUAUCUCACAUUCUUAAUUUACUAAGAAUUUUAUUUCCUAAGUUUUUCUAGGUCACACCCAUUAUUUUUCCUGGGCCAUUAGCUCAGGUGGUUAGAGCGCACCCCUGAUAAGGGUGAGGUCCCUGGUUCAAGUCCAGGAUGGCCCAUAUCUCUAUGUUGGGGGUAUAGCUCAGUUGGUAGAGCGCCUGCUUUGCAAGCAGGAUGUCAGCGGUUCGAGUCCGCUUACCUCCACUGAUUACCACCUCUUCCAUAAUUUGUAGAAGGGAAUAUUUUGAGUUGUGAUCAAAUUCUGAACGAAUCUAGCUUCCUAAUGAAAUCAUUAAGAUGCUGGACUCAUUGAAUUAUUUUCAUUGUUUUCAGAGAACCUUGACAACUGCAUAGAUUAUUUUUAAAGACAAUAAGCAUCUUUAAUGAUGCAGAUUUAUUAUUUGUGCGAAUGCAUUAAUAACAAUUCUAUUGAGCUGAUGCUUCAAUUUUGAAGUUAUU
This 539-nucleotide transfer RNA is filed under the name uncultured cyanobacterium. RNAcentral's name for it is "partial 16S-23S ribosomal RNA intergenic spacer". The stretch from base 212 to 284 matches the Rfam family "tRNA". The record is from RNAcentral. Lineage: Bacteria; Bacillati; Cyanobacteriota.